UCUUUUUCUUUUCCUCCGUUUCUCACCCGACCCCAUCCCUGUUUCUUCCUCUUCUUCCCUUCUCUCGCACUGUCUUCUUCUAUUCAUCUUCCCCAAACUGUCGCCGCCGACGCCUCCUCUUCUCCCCUCCCCCCGCGUUCAUAACCCUGGCCAAAGGAAAGCUCGAAGCCCUAACAUCACUUUCCCCUUCUUUGCCCCCAUUGCUGCCUUGUCGCAGAGAUUCCGAUCGCGCCAUCUCCUCCUUGCGUCGAUCGACAUCCGCACUGCGCUACCCUUCGUCGGAGCAGUGGCGUUGUCGUUCUUGCUGUGCCCUAGCCGCAGUCACCCGUGCCCUAGUUUUCCUUCUUGUCGCGAGCCAUAGUGCCAAACGCCACCCGAUCUUUCCUCUUCGGGUCGUGGAUAGAAGCCGAUCAUCUGAGUUGAUCUCUCGUUGGUGCCCUAGCCACUGCCACUACGAGGACUGAGCCGGUCAUCGCCGACGCGGCUAGCCUCGACCCAUCCCUCUUCUCUUGAUUUUCUCCGAGUCGUGCCCUAAUCACUUCUUGCUGCCACCACUUGCCGACACUGCCCAACGCCUGAGUGGGCUGAUACAACAGAUUUGGUUUUGACCAGCCACUGUUGCUUGCUAUCAUCACCGGCGAUUGAAGAGGACGAGGUAAUGGAGGCUAUCUUGCUGUUGGAUUGUGAUAGUGAAUAGAUUUCUUGGUUGCUUUCUUGAUCUCCUUUUGAUCCGGGCAAUGAGGAGGUUUCCAGCCAGAGUAGUGGUGUUUCCGGGUAUUCCCAGCAAUUGCGAUCUCCGGCUGCGAGUCAACAGUGGUGGCUUGAGUUGAGGACUUUGAUUUGCGAUGAGCUACUUUACGUGGGGUUUCUUUUGGCACGCACUAUAUUGGAGGCGGGU
Molecule: long non-coding RNA, 898 nt
Organism: Zingiber officinale
Lineage: Eukaryota; Viridiplantae; Streptophyta; Magnoliopsida; Zingiberales; Zingiberaceae
Exons: 3
Source: RefSeq, a predicted model, not a curated record